This 973-nucleotide long non-coding RNA is filed under the name Callithrix jacchus (white-tufted-ear marmoset). RNAcentral's name for it is "lncRNA (ENSCJAG00000082775.1)". Lineage: Eukaryota; Metazoa; Chordata; Mammalia; Primates; Cebidae. The record is from RNAcentral.
CCAGCCUUGCUGUGGUCUUACCUCCUGGGCCACACCCCUGCCCUCCUCCUGAGAUUGCCAGGCCCCUGCCUGUUUCAUCUCAGUGCUGAGGAUGGCAUGCGGCACACAGCCGGUGCUUACAACAUUUAUAUAUUGAAUGAAGGAACCAUGAAGUCCGUCAACCAGUCUCUUCUCACCCAUCCCAAUCCCUGAUGAUCCCAUUAGCCAACCGUAAAAGGUGGCCACACAUGGCAGAGUGAGACGCAAGAGAACCUCCACCCAGGGGGAAGGCGAUGGGUGGGCGCUUGAGCCAUCUCGGCAGAAUUCACUUUUCUUUCUUUGCACCCAAAGGCCCUUUUCAAACUGGAGAAACCCCAGAGUGACCAGCUCAGCCCAGUUUGCUGAGGACCGUCCUAGUUUUCACAUGGAAAGUCCUGGAUCCUGGAGACUCCCUUGGUGCUGGGUAAAGCAUGCCAGCUCAGCGCAGGGAGGGGCGGAGGGCCAGCCCAGUCUUGUCUGCUUGCCUCUGGGCACAUUCUGGACGGCCCACUCCUGUCCCCGGCACUGCAGAGGGAAGGAGCGCCUGCGCCUGGCCAGCACCUUCCUGUGCUUUGGGAGUUGGCCUCACGCCGCCACCACGGAGCUGCUUUUCCUGCCCCUGAAAUGUUUUAGGGCCGGGCAUGGUGGCUCCUGCUUGUAAUCCCAGCACUUCAGGAGUCUGAGGCAGCGGAUUGCUUGAGCCCAGGAGUUUGAGACCAGCCUGGGCAACACAAUGAGACCCCAUCUCUACAAAAAUUAGUUGAGUGUCGUGGUGCACACUGUGGUCUCAGCUCCUCAGGUAGCUGUGGUGGGAGGAUCGCUUGAGCCUCCACGUUCAAGGCUGCAGUGAGCCAAAAUCAUACCACCGCACUCCAGACUGGGUGAUAGAGCAAGUCAAAAAAAUUUGUUUUAACUUCUAAGCUGGCAAAUAAAAAUUGCAUAUCAUGAUUGUGUA